This 548-nucleotide long non-coding RNA is filed under the name Rhinopithecus bieti (black snub-nosed monkey). Its description in RNAcentral is "lncRNA (ENSRBIG00000045203.1)". Lineage: Eukaryota; Metazoa; Chordata; Mammalia; Primates; Cercopithecidae. The record is from RNAcentral.
GCAAUUUAUAUUUAGGGAACAGCCUUCAGCCACUUUUCUUAGAGAGGGGCAGUGUAACCAUCAGACACUAGAAGGCUUCCUGGACUUCUCAGUAUACCAUGCAAUGGCAGCUUUUUGAAGAUCAGUAAUAUGAAGUCUGUCCUAAAGAACACUGAAGGUAUCGCUACUGGAAAACAAUGCCAUUCUCGUAUGGUCCACAAGGAAAAGAAGGAAGGAAUAGUUAUGACCAAACAGUGGGCAAAGAAGCUGGAGCUGGAGGUAAACACUGAAGGAAUGUGGUCAAAGGCAAUUGAAGAUGACCUGGUAGUCUAAAGUGCAACAAGCAAACUAUCCAGUUCUCAAUCACUGAUGUGUGGACUUCACAGAAAAGGGAACAUGGAAAUUGUGGUUCCGAUCUAAACACAAAUCCAGUCAGUUGCCAGUCUAACCUGUUUGGUUAUUUUUAAGUUUUAAAACAUUGCUGAUAAUUAAAACCACAAUGGGCUGCCAGCUCAAAUCCACGAGAUUGGCCAAAAUAAAAGAACUGUACAAUACUAAGUGUUGGCAAG